This 284-nucleotide ribosomal RNA is filed under the name Acidimicrobiales bacterium. RNAcentral's name for it is "partial 23S ribosomal RNA". It matches the Rfam family "Bacterial large subunit ribosomal RNA", at positions 2644 to 2925 of the family's 2925-position model. Lineage: Bacteria; Bacillati; Actinomycetota; Acidimicrobiia; Acidimicrobiales. The record is from RNAcentral.
GGUGUAGGCGUUAGAGUAUUGCGAGGAUCUCUUCUUAGUACGAGAGGACCGGAAGAGACGUACCUCUGGUGUGCCAGUUAUCGUGCCAACGGUAGACGCUGGGUAGCCAUGUACGGUUAGGAUAACCGCUGAAAGCAUCUAAGUGGGAAGCCAGCCUCAAGAUGAGUACUCUUACCAUAAAAAAUGGUUAAGGUCACGGCAAGACUAGCCGUUUGAUAGGUACCAAGUGUAUGUACAGUAAUGUAUUUAGCUGAGGUAUCCUAAUAGACCGAAUGCUUGACUUA